RNAcentral lists this ribosomal RNA (1341 nucleotides) under metagenome. RNAcentral describes it as "bacterial LSU rRNA". It matches the Rfam family "Bacterial large subunit ribosomal RNA", at positions 1560 to 2925 of the family's 2925-position model. The record is from RNAcentral.
UCUGACUCAGCGGGACUGUCAGAUGUCCAGGCCGUAAGGCCGAUGCUGGGAAAGUGGGUUCCUAGAAAAGCAGGGAUGCCAGUACCAAAACUGACACAGGUGGGCGAGGCGAAUAGCCUCAGGCGCUCGAGAGAACGGUCGUGAAGGAACUAGGCAAAUUAACCCCGUAGGUUCGCGAUAAGGGGGCCCUACCCGCAAGGGAGGGCGCAGAGAAAAGGCUCUGGGAACUGUUUAUCAAAAACACAGCUCUGUGCUAACUCGGAAGAGGAUGUAUACAGAGUGACGCUUGCCCGAUACCGGAAUGUCAAGAAAGUGGGUCAGCGAAAGCGAAGCUCGCGAUUUAAGCACCGGUGAAUGGCGGCCGUAACUAUGACGGUCCUAAGGUAGCGAAGUUCCUUGUCGGGUAAGUUCCGACGCGCAUGAAUAGCGUAAUCACUGGAGCACUGUCUCCACGACCGACUCGGUGAAAUAGAAGUGGCGGUGGAGAUGCCGCCUCCCCGCAGCAAGACGGAAAGACCCCGUGGACCUUCACUGCAGGUUUUUAUUGGUCACGAGCAUACUCUGCGUAGCAUAGGUGGGAGCCUUUGAUCUCCAGGUUUCGGCUUGGAGUAGGCAACAAGUGAAAUACCACCCUGAGCACGUUUGUGGCCUAACCAUGAUACCCUUGAAUCAGGGCGUGGGACAGUGGAAGCUGGGCAGUUUGACUGGGGCGGUCUCCUCCAAAAAGGUAACGGAGGAGUGCAAAGGUCGGCUCAGCACGGAUGGAAACCGUGCCAAGAGUGCAAGGGCACAAGCCGGCUUUACAGCGAGUUCGACGGAACAAGCUGUCACGAAAGUGGGCCCUAGUGAUCCUGCGAUCCCGUGUGGAAGGGUCGUAGCUCAACGGAUAAAAGGUACCCCGGGGAUAACAGGCUGAUCGCGCCCGAGCGUCCAUAGCGGCGGCGCGGUUUGGCACCUCGAUGUCGGCCCAUCACAUCCUGGGACUGAAGGCGGCCCCAAGGGUUCGGCUGUUCGCCGAUUAAAGUGGUACGCGAGCCGGGUUCAGACCGGCGUGAGCCAGGUCGGUCCCUAUCUGUUGUGGGUGUUGCAAGCUUGAGAGGAGUCAACUUUAGUACGAGAGGAUUGGGUUGGACGUACCCCUGGUGAUCCAGCUGGACUGCUAAGUCCACCGCUGGGUAGCUACGUACGGCAGGGAUAACCGCUGAAAGAAUCUAAGCGGGAAGCCCCCCUCAAAACUAGGCUUGCUUGAGACCCCUUGAAGACUACAAGGUUGAUAGGACGCGCGUGCAAGGGUAGAGAUACCCUCAGCGGAGCGUUACUAACGGUCGAUGAUCACGCCAA